AACUCGAUAAUGCAUUUUUAAUCUCCCACUAUAUGCAAAUCCUGAAUCAGAUGAUCAGCCGCAACUCUAGAACGUGCAAUAAAGCAAUAGAAACUAGAAACUAGAAUCACCAUAACGAGAAUUUCAUUAAUACUACAAUCUCCAGCCAACACAAGCCACUGCAACCUACAGGAAAGCCGAUAGCCAGCUGUAAAAUUAACCAAGACCCCCGAAAAGAUCCACAAUCCAGCGAAAAAAUACUGUGUCUUCUGCUUUUUCAACACGCACCACGUUAACAACCCCCAGGAAAAAACAUGGCUACGGCUGCACGGGGAUUAAAAAAUGGCCGCAUAUCAAUCCAUGCCAAAGUUACAACAACGUAAACA
RNAcentral lists this long non-coding RNA (365 nucleotides) under Physcomitrium patens. Its description in RNAcentral is "long non-coding RNA (PPAT_LNC009589)". The record is from RNAcentral. Lineage: Eukaryota; Viridiplantae; Streptophyta; Bryopsida; Funariales; Funariaceae.